Xyrauchen texanus (razorback sucker) is the source of this 592-nucleotide long non-coding RNA. RefSeq lists it as uncharacterized. Lineage: Eukaryota; Metazoa; Chordata; Actinopteri; Cypriniformes; Catostomidae. The record is from RefSeq and is a predicted model, not a curated record. The transcript has 4 exons.
CAACAACUGAGCUCAAUGCCUUGAGGGCCUUCCAGGGACAGCAGCCUACUCACAAAAAGGUGGACAUGAAAGGAAAAUAAUUGAAAACUACUAGCAUCACUGACCUUGACAUCUGGAUCUGUUUAUUAACACAAAAGAAAACAUGGGUAACACCAACUGAAGAACUGUAAUCAAAACAAUGAAGAAAAAGGCUCAGCACAAAGACAAUAUCACAAUGGGAUCAGAAAGUUGAUCUGGGCAGCUCAAGACGAGACAAGACAACGAAGAAUGUUUGGUGUGAGUUUUCUAGUUCUGGCUCAUUUAUUCUCUUCCUUGGUGGGCCUGAUCUUCAUCUCUGUGAACUUCAGCGAGUACUGCCACCCUGUCCAGGACGACCACUCAAUGCCGUCAGCGUAGGAGGUGUGCUGGCCGCGAAGGUGCUGUUCAUGGUGAGUUCAAAGCUUGACGAUGGCAUUUGAGCGGAUGGCCACAGUCUACUGGCAGAAUAAGAUUGUGGAUGACUCCUACUUUAGGAAAUGUUUAAUGUUACUUAAAUUGGUGCUAUUUAGUGCAUUGUCUUUAUAUUGUGGAAGGGUUUGUUUGGAAAAUGUUA